GACGAAGGGGGCUAGCGUUGUUCGGAAUUACUGGGCGUAAAGCGCGUGUAGGCGGUUGUCGUAGUCAGGCGUGAAAGCCUUGAGCUCAACUCAAGAAAUGCGCUUGAUACUGGGCAGCUAGAGGACCGGAGAGGAUAGUGGAAUUCCCAGUGUAGUGGUGAAAUACGUAGAGAUUGGGAAGAACACCAGUGGCGAAGGCGGCUAUCUGGACGGUUUCUGACACUAAGACUCGAAAGCGUGGGGAGCAAACAGG
RNAcentral lists this ribosomal RNA (253 nucleotides) under uncultured bacterium. Its description in RNAcentral is "partial 16S ribosomal RNA". It matches the Rfam family "Bacterial small subunit ribosomal RNA", at positions 524 to 776 of the family's 1533-position model. The record is from RNAcentral.